CCGCUUAGAGGCAAACGGGUGUAGUCAAGCUUCGAGUUACUUGUAGUGGGCGGACCAGAAUGGCGUGAGCUUGAGCAUAUUUGUACUGGUUGUAGGUGCGUCAAAAGGCGUGUUCGGCUCGCAAGAGUUGGAUGUGUGGAGUGUCAUACGAUGCCGCAUACCUAUGAUUAGUUUGUUCUGCUGGUCCACUUUAUUUCAGGUAGCGUUUCCACGACCGUCGCAGCUGUCGGUCUGCUUCGUCUAAACCGUAGCGUGAGUAGCCUUGUGUUUCUUGCGUUGCGGGGGCAGGUAGCUAACUUGGCUUCGGCCGGGUUAGUGUAAUCGCCGGGCGGAGUGGUAUCUGUGCAGUACGGCGGGGCUGGCGGUGCGUGGUACCGGGCGUGCUAAAGUAUGUUGGCAUGGCUUGAGUCUGGCUUCAUGUUGCUGUCAAAGAUGGCCUUGGAGUGGCUCUGCUAUGGUUGAUGUACGGCGGCGGCCGGGUCACCUUCGCGUUGUGC
This 497-nucleotide ribosomal RNA is filed under the name Pseudaxine trachuri. RNAcentral's name for it is "partial 28S ribosomal RNA". Lineage: Eukaryota; Metazoa; Platyhelminthes; Monogenea; Mazocraeidea; Gastrocotylidae. The record is from RNAcentral.